Long non-coding RNA from Oncorhynchus nerka (sockeye salmon), 245 nucleotides. RefSeq lists it as uncharacterized. The transcript has 3 exons. NCBI's taxonomy places the organism in Eukaryota, Metazoa, Chordata, Actinopteri, Salmoniformes, Salmonidae. The record is from RefSeq and is a predicted model, not a curated record.
GUCCAUCCCGUUGGAGAGGAGAGUCCUGACCAUGCUACAAUGGCUUCAUCUGCCAGACGGAGAGAGGCCGUAUGUUUACGCCAUGCACUCCGAGCAGCCGGACACGUUUGGCCACAAGCUGGGGCCCAUGAGCACUGAGCUGAACAACCCUCUGAAGGAGAUUGAUAAGAUAAUUGGUCAGCUGAUGGACGGCCUGAAACAGAUGAAACUCCACCGAUGUGUCAACAUCAUCAUGGUGGGAGAUC